RNAcentral lists this non-coding RNA (45 nucleotides) under Schistosoma mansoni. The record is from RNAcentral. Lineage: Eukaryota; Metazoa; Platyhelminthes; Trematoda; Strigeidida; Schistosomatidae.
AUCCAAAUGACGAGUUUCAAACAAAACGAAACACGAGUCUUGGAU